GAUGGAGGGGGAUAACUACUGGAAACGGUAGCUAAUACCGCAUAACGUCGCAAGACCAAAGAGGGGGACCUUAGGGCCUCUUGCCAUCGGAUGUGCCCAGAUGGGAUUAGCUAGUAGGUGGGGUAAUGGCUCACCUAGGCGACGAUCCCUAGCUGGUCUGAGAGGAUGACCAGCCACACUGGAACUGAGACACGGUCCAGACUCUGAU
Molecule: ribosomal RNA, 208 nt
Filed under: Escherichia coli O25b:H4-ST131
Lineage: Bacteria; Pseudomonadati; Pseudomonadota; Gammaproteobacteria; Enterobacterales; Enterobacteriaceae
Description: partial 16S ribosomal RNA
Rfam family: Bacterial small subunit ribosomal RNA
Source: RNAcentral